RNAcentral lists this ribosomal RNA (396 nucleotides) under Chanos chanos (milkfish). RNAcentral describes it as "partial 16S ribosomal RNA". It matches the Rfam family "Bacterial large subunit ribosomal RNA", at positions 1962 to 2502 of the family's 2925-position model. Lineage: Eukaryota; Metazoa; Chordata; Actinopteri; Gonorynchiformes; Chanidae. The record is from RNAcentral.
CAAUCACUUGUCUCUUAAAUAGAGACCUGUAUGAAUGGCACGACGAGGGCUUAACUGUCUCUCCUCCCCAGUCAGUGAAAUUGAUCUGUCCGUGCAGAAGCGGACAUUGUACUGCAAGACGAGAAGACCCUAUGGAGCUUUAGACACAAGACCAACCAUGUUAAACCACUUAAAACAAAACAAGUGGAAACAGAGUGGUAAACCUUGGUCCGCCUGUCUUCGGUUGGGGCGACCGCGGGGCAAAGACAAACCCCCAUGUGGAAUGGACAAACCAUUUAGAGCUAAGAGACACAUCUCUAAGCCACAGAACAUCUGACCAAAAAUGAUCCGGACACCAGACCGAUCAACGAACCAAGUUACCCUAGGGAUAACAGCGCAAUCCUCUUCCAGAGUCCA